AGUGUAGGUGGCCAGGCAAGUCAGAAGUGAAAGCCCGGGGCUCAACCCCGGGACUGCUUUUGAAACUGCAGGGCUAGAGUGCAGGAGGGGCAAGUGGAAUUCCUAGUGUAGCGGUGAAAUGCGUAGAUAUUAGGAGGAACACCAGUGGCGAAGGCGGCUUGCUGGACUGUAACUGACACUGAGGCUCGAAAGCGUGGGGAGCAAACA
This 207-nucleotide ribosomal RNA is filed under the name uncultured bacterium. Its description in RNAcentral is "partial 16S ribosomal RNA". It matches the Rfam family "Bacterial small subunit ribosomal RNA", at positions 568 to 774 of the family's 1533-position model. The record is from RNAcentral.